GCGUUGAUGGUGUAACGGUUAGCAUGCUGCCUUCCAAGCAGUAGAUCUGGGUUCGAUUCCCGGUCGACGCA
Molecule: transfer RNA, 71 nt
Filed under: Paramuricea clavata
Lineage: Eukaryota; Metazoa; Cnidaria; Anthozoa; Malacalcyonacea; Plexauridae
Rfam family: tRNA
About the family: Transfer RNA (tRNA) molecules are approximately 80 nucleotides in length.
Source: Rfam by way of RNAcentral